Long non-coding RNA from Brachypodium distachyon (stiff brome), 639 nucleotides. RefSeq lists it as uncharacterized. The transcript has 2 exons. The record is from RefSeq and is a predicted model, not a curated record. Lineage: Eukaryota; Viridiplantae; Streptophyta; Magnoliopsida; Poales; Poaceae.
CGCAGUAGUCGUCAGUAUAGACUGGCACCGACGAUGACGCUAUCUACUAAUCUAUCUAUCUAUCCAUGGCCGCUCCACUGCAGCCACAAACACUGCCACACAAGUGACUCGGAUUUUUUCAGCUUUUAACCCCAUGGCUCCGUCCUGACUCACUCGUAUAUUCAGAAAGCAUUACGGCGGUAACAAAUUCUGCUCGGGAAAAAAUGCUGCUGGAGUGGUUUCAGUCCUGAGGUGCAAUACAGUCGUUCUUACCUGGUACAUCGUAGAAAGGCUUCCGAAUUCCAUGGUAUAACAGGUAAAACUGGCUUUAGUGUGGAUAGGUCUCCUCUCAUCUGUCCACAAUGACAAAUAGCGGCGAUUACAUUUAAGAUGAAACAGAAUGGUCACAACCUAAAUCCUCGCUCCAACACCAGGCAUGAUUUUGGGCAAAACUGUCUGGGCAAUUUAGUCCAAAUCAUCAGUUUACCUGUUCGUACAUAUCACAUCGUGGCACCAGCUACUCGUCAAACUCUGAGUUUCACAUGCCGAUCUUAAAAGUCCAUGAAAACAGAGCGUGAUGCAAGUGAAGGCUCACAUUGUAUUUCUGUAUUGCAGAUAACCAACCAAUACAGCAUAUGAAGUGACUCUUUAGUUUCUUUA